AAAAGUUUAACGGCCGCGGUAUUUUGACCGUGCGAAGGUAGCGUAAUCACUUGUCUUUUAAAUGAAGACCUGUAUGAAUGGCAUUACGAGGGCUCAACUGUCUCCUUUUUCCAGUCAGUGAAAUUGACCUGCUCGUGCAGAGGCGAGCAUAACCCCAUAAGACGAGAAGACCCUAUGGAGCUUAAAACACAAGAUCAACUAUGCUAUCAAGCCAACCACCUACGGAAAUAACAGCUAAAAGCACAAUAGUACUAUGAUCCUAAUGUUUUCGGUUGGGGCGACCACGGAGGACAAAAAAGCCUCCAUGUCGACGGGGGCACUGCCCCUAAAACCUAGGGCGACAGCCCAAAGCAACAGAACAUCUGACGAACAAUGACCCAGGCCAAAGCCUGAUCAACGAACCAAGUUACCCUAGGGAUAACAGCGCAAUCCUUUCUGAGAGUCCAUAUCGACGAAAGGGUUUACGACCUCGAUGUUGGAUCAGGACAUCCUAAUGGUGCAGCCGCUAUUAAGGG
This 515-nucleotide ribosomal RNA is filed under the name Scaphirhynchus platorynchus (shovelnose sturgeon). RNAcentral describes it as "partial 16S ribosomal RNA". It matches the Rfam family "Bacterial large subunit ribosomal RNA", at positions 1915 to 2571 of the family's 2925-position model. RNAcentral also lists the same sequence under 2 other names. Lineage: Eukaryota; Metazoa; Chordata; Actinopteri; Acipenseriformes; Acipenseridae. The record is from RNAcentral.